UUAUAGGAAACUCACCCUGGGGUCUUCCAGUUACCACCUCAUUUUCUUUUUCUUCUUUCUUCAUGUGUGUGUGUGUGGUGUGUAAGCAUGCUCACACAUGUGUGUAAGAAUGUAGGUAUGUGUGUAAAUGUUGAGUGUCUUCCUCAGUCACCACCCCCUCCUUAUUUUUUGAGACAGGGUCUCUUAUGUUUACCUGAAGCUCACUGAGGGCCAACAAGCCCCAAAGACAUAGCUCACUGUAGCCUCACCCCCUGGCCCUCAGUCCAUCCUCUGCUUCAGUUCCCCAAGUAGCUAAGACUAUGGGCACACACCACCAACCAAAUAACAUGUUUGUUGUUUGUUCUUUAGUGUCCUGGAUUAUCUGAAACAAAAUUGGACAUCUGAGUGCUACAAAAUGAAACCACAAUGGGUAGAAUACAGUCUGACCCUCAGAAGGGGUCACUGACUCCUCUUGAUGGUGACAUCUCCAUAUUGCUGUGAUAUUUCUGUGUUCACUGAAGGAUGAAGGUGACUCUAGCAGCAAGUGAUUUUAGCCACUGAGCCAUCUUGCCAGCCCUUCAAAGACUUUAAUGUGACUACCUCAAAGAUAAAAGAGAAGAAGGGCUGUGCAGGGAAAGGAACAGAAAUUGGCCAAAAUAUAGCUGGAUGCACAUGAAACAUCAAAAGAAAAAUCAAAGGGAAGACAAAUAAUAUUCUGAAAAAGAAUAGUAAGAACGUAUUUUAGCUCAUGAGCUUAACUUGUACUGUAUACUUUUAAAAAAAUGAAUAUUGGUACAAAUUCAGGGUUAGCAGUAAGAGGAAGGAAUGCAUAAAUAGACAUACUGACAUAUCAGAAUUUACUAUACGCUUCAGGAAAACUUUUCCAAUAAGGAGGGAAGAGGAUGGAGUGUUCAAUCAGUGGCCAGCUGACCAUCCUUGGAGUGGGGAUUAGAAAGAUGUGUACCAUACAUUGCUCAUAUUCUCUGUGGAGAGGACCCUGAAGUGUUUGGAUGGUGUAUCAACGAGUCAGCAGGAAAGUCCUAGUCUGUGUUGCUAUAACAAUUGCCAGAGGAUGGGUAAUAUAUAAAGAAAAGAGAUUUACUUGGCUCUUAUUUCUGCUCAGAUAGCCUGGCACAGGGCUCUGGCAAAGGCCAGCUUUGAACUGCAUGAUGAUACAGUUGUGGAGGAGCAGCGUUGACCUCAGAGAGCAGGAGCAUGCAAAGGCAACAGGCACGGAUGGUCCGGUGUUGAGCGUUCUGUUCUGUCACCUGACGUCUGGACUCGGCUCUGAACUUCGGCGACACGAAGGAUUUCGAAACACCUUCGGCAGGAGGGAGCCCCCACUUGUAAGAAACUGUUCUGGGGAAGAAUGAUAGCUCCAGAUGAGGCAUGCAGAACACUGCAGGAGGAUCUGCGCUCUCCGGUUCUUUUCAGCCAAGUGAACCUGCAUCUCAUAUCUAGCACCUGGAUUAAUGUCAGUGCACAGUAAUCACGCAUGCAAUCCAAUGAUCUACUGUUGUAUUCUAUGAUUUUUCAUCUACUCACAGCAAGAAAAAGUAACAAGUGACAAGAAUAUAAAAGAUUAACUCCUUUUAAUAGUUCCUAAGAAGAAAUGGAAUUUUUUAGAUUUUACGUUUUCUUUCAAUCUUCAUUCAGAAAGGCAAAUGAGAUGGACAUCAGAAGAGGGAGAAAACAGGGAACAGGACAGGAACCUCUCACCGAGGGCCUCUGAAAGACUCCACCCAGCAUUGUAUCAGAGCAUAUGCUGAGAUGCAUAACCAAACUUUGGGCAGAGUGAAGGGAAUCUUAUAAAAGGAGGAGAUAGAAAGACCUGGAGAGAACAGGAGCUCCACAAGGGGAGCAACAGAACCAAAACUCUGGGCACAGGGGUCUUUUCUGAGACUGAUACUCCAACCAAGGACCAUUCGUGGAGAUAACCUAAGACCCCUGCACAGAUGUAGACCAUGGCAGCUCAGUAUCCAAAAAGGUUCCCCAAUAAUAGGACCAGGGACUGUCUCUGAAAUGAACUCAUGAGUUGGCUCUUGGAUCACCUCCCCCUGAGGGGGGAGCAGCCUUACCACUCCUGAGAGGAAGACAAAGAAGCCAGUCCUGAUGAGACCUGAUAGACUAAGGUCAGAUGGAAAAGGAGGAAGACCUCCC
This is a long non-coding RNA of Psammomys obesus (fat sand rat), 2139 nucleotides long. RefSeq lists it as uncharacterized. The record is from RefSeq and is a predicted model, not a curated record. The transcript is spliced from 4 exons. Lineage: Eukaryota; Metazoa; Chordata; Mammalia; Rodentia; Muridae.